AUAGAUACCCUAUUAUUUUGAAUGUAAAUAUUAAAAACUUGAUUAAUAUAAGUUUAUGGUCUUUAAAAUUAAAGAUUUUGGCGGUAUUUUAGUCUAUUCAGAGGAAUCUGUCCUAUAAUUGAUAAUCCACGAUUUAAUUUACUUUUAGAAAAAAUUUAUAUAUCGUCGUAGUUUGAAUAUUUUAAAAGAAUUUUAAUGUUCAAAAUUUUUUUAUAAAAUUAAAUCAGAUCAAGGUGUAGUUUAUAUAAAAGAAGAGAUGGAUUACAUUAAAUUUAUUUAAAGAUUAAUUUUUGUAAAAUUUUAUGAAUAUGGAUUUGAUAGUAAUUUUUUUAAAAUUUUAAAAAUGAUUUAAGCUCUAAAAUAUGUACACAUCGCCCG
This 378-nucleotide ribosomal RNA is filed under the name Desmocerus californicus dimorphus. RNAcentral's name for it is "partial small subunit ribosomal RNA". The record is from RNAcentral. Lineage: Eukaryota; Metazoa; Arthropoda; Insecta; Coleoptera; Cerambycidae.